RNAcentral lists this ribosomal RNA (811 nucleotides) under fungal sp. Its description in RNAcentral is "mitochondrial SSU rRNA". It matches the Rfam family "Bacterial small subunit ribosomal RNA", at positions 408 to 1164 of the family's 1533-position model. The record is from RNAcentral. Lineage: Eukaryota; Fungi.
AUGUAUAGCUUCGGCUAGUUAGGUUUGUCUAGAACAAAUCUAAUAUCGACUAUGUCGGAUAAAAUUCUAGAUAGAAUACUGAUAAUGACAAUUUUCUAUCUACUUGUCUUGACCAAAUUACGUGCCAGCAGUCGCGGCAAUACGUAGAAGACUAGUGUUAUUCAUAUUUAGUAGGUUUAAAGGGUACCUAGACGGUAUGAUUAGCCCAAAAUAGGGUACGGUCUUACUAGAGUUUUAUAUGAGAAGGGGAGUAUUUAUGGAGUAGAGUUGAAAUUCUGUCAUCCCAUAACGACUGGUAGAGGCGAAAGCAACCUUUUAUCUAAAAACUGACGUUGAGGGACGAAGGCUUGGGUAGCGAACAGGAUUAGAUACCCUAGUAGUCUAGGCAGAGAAUUAUGAAUGUCAUAGGCUAGAUAUUUUUAGCCUAUAAAUGAAAGUGUAAGCAUUCCACCUCAAGAGUAAUGUGGCAACGCAGGAACUGAAAUCAUUAGACCGUUUCUGAAACCAGUAGUGAAGUAUGUUAUUUAAUUUGAUAAUACGCAAAAAACCUUACCACAAUUCGUAUUUUAUACAUUUAAGUUAUAUUAGUAAGAAAACACUUUAAUUUUAAACGAUUAUAGUUGUAUAAUAUUUUUUUAACUUAGGAUAUAUUACAAGCGUUGCACGGCUGUCUUCAGUUAAUGUCGUGAGAUUUUGGUUAGUUCCAUAAAAUUAACGUAAACCCUUGCUCUAUUUUUAAACUCUCGAUAAGGGAAAAUCCCUUGCCGAGUAUUAAGCUUUUUAUAGAGUAGUUCACCAUCAUAUUGGAUAU